Molecule: long non-coding RNA, 508 nt
Organism: Drosophila erecta
Lineage: Eukaryota; Metazoa; Arthropoda; Insecta; Diptera; Drosophilidae
Exons: 5
Source: RefSeq, a predicted model, not a curated record
ACUAUCGAUUCGAGUUACAGACAGAUCGAUAGGAGAGAUCUGGGAUCACUACUUCUGGUCGGCGUUCAAAAAAAACCUACAAUACGGGCGGACAUGGCGAGAUCGACUCUGCUAGUGAUCAAGAAUUGCGUCCUUCCUAAAAUCAUGCAGAUAGUCGCAUAAAUAUUUGCAUCUUUCUGCAUCUGAUGCCCAACACACAGCCAACUGGAAACAGGACCAGAGAAGGUAUACCAGGACCUUGGAGUCGCAGAGCGGAAUGUAAUUGCCUCGGAACCACUGACAAUCGUUGGCUCUCCGGAACAUGAUGGAUAAUAAUAUGCACAUAAAAAUGCGCCGCCGAAGUACAAAGGAAGGUCCGUAAGCUGUGCGGCAAAAGGCCUGCUUUGUGCCACUCCCCGAAGGAUGUGUAGUCAGCUUACACACCACCCAGUCGGCACAGGAAACGACGGCACAGGAAACAAAUAAAAAAGAAGCUCGAUAGUAGCUCGGCGAAUGCAAGUGAAAUUAG